CUCGCAGGCAAACCUGUGGCUCCUUGGAGAAGUAAUCUGACUUCGUAGCGGCAAAUGGCCCACUCUGUGGCCUGACUGGCGCCAGGGUUCCAGGAAUCAUCAGUCCUGAGACCAUUCCUGUGCCAGCGAUGGAAGCCCCAACAUAGACUUUUCCAAUAUGCACAUAGAAGUGUACAAAGGACCAACCAUCUGCAAGAAGACGUCUUCAAGAAGAGCACAGGCCAGCCAAGACUACAGAGGGAGGCCAGAUCUCUGAAGCAGUUCCUGUCAUCAUAACCUGGGGCAGGUGUCUCCUGAUCUAGGUUCUUGUUUCCUUCUCUUUAAGAUCGCCGAUGACAGUGAUUUGAAGACUCAGUGAUCUCGAGGGUCAUUCUGGAGCUGUGCUAUCUAUCAGUGCCCAACAUAGUGAUCCUGCUUGGUCAGCCAGGGGUGACAGCCACUGC
Molecule: long non-coding RNA, 443 nt
Filed under: Mus spicilegus (steppe mouse)
Lineage: Eukaryota; Metazoa; Chordata; Mammalia; Rodentia; Muridae
Description: lncRNA (ENSMSIG00000027643.1)
Source: RNAcentral